Long non-coding RNA from Raphanus sativus (radish), 704 nucleotides. RefSeq lists it as uncharacterized. The transcript has 4 exons. The record is from RefSeq and is a predicted model, not a curated record. NCBI's taxonomy places the organism in Eukaryota, Viridiplantae, Streptophyta, Magnoliopsida, Brassicales, Brassicaceae.
GACAUAUAUGCGAUAUCAAUCAUAAAAACUAGGCCUGGGAUUCUGACCCGAACCGAAUGGUCUGAACCGGACCGAACCGAACAUUAUGAAAUUCGGUUUUUGUUCGGUUCUCAAGAGCAAACCAAUCGGAAGCUGUUCAAAAUAUGUUCGGUUAUUGCCUCGGUUCGGUUUGGUUCAUGAUAACCGUUUGGUUAACCGAAAUUUAACCUAGCUAUAUAUAACUUUAAACCUAAACAAACCUAAUCAGUUUCUAUUUGUCGUCCUCGAACUCGAGCCGCUGCUUCUGUCGGAUUCUUAACCUAAGAAACCUCGUCUUCUUCAUCUGAUUCUCAUAUCUCUUCGAGCACAAGGUUGUGAAACAAUGAUGCCCUACUUGGUUUCGUUGAGCUUGCUUUCGAGCUACAACUAGAGACAAUAGCGAUCCAUGAAGCUGUCAAAGUUAUACUACAAGGUCUUCGUGUGGAUAUCAAUUGUGAAGGCAUAAAAACUCCCUUUCGUGUCGCCAAGGCUCUUCGACAAGGAACCAGAGACAGGACAAGACGAUGGAUAAUCGACAAAUUCCAUGAGAAACUUCUCAUUAGAAGUAGAGGUUGGAGUUCAAGCUUCAUGGUGACAUUAAUUUUUUAUUGUUUUCAUAUAUUCAGAAUGUUUGAUCUUUUUCGUAGAUUGAGAAAGGAUGAACAAGAUAGAUGUUGGUUUUUUUA